Molecule: long non-coding RNA, 1441 nt
Organism: Dermochelys coriacea (leatherback sea turtle)
Lineage: Eukaryota; Metazoa; Chordata; Testudines; Dermochelyidae
Exons: 2
Source: RefSeq, a predicted model, not a curated record
CGCCCGCCGCGGAGCCCAGCCCCUGCCGCGGGGAGACCCCGGGCUCCUGUUCCUCAGAGCCGGGCCGCCCCCGUCUAUGUGGGACCCCCCAGGGUGACCCCCGCCCGUGUGGCACCCCUGAAAGCCUGACCCCCUGUGUCGGCCCCCUCAGUCGUGGUGUGGGAGCGCCCCUUGUCUGAGUGACCCCCGCCCGUGUGGCACCCCUGAAAGCCUGACCCCCUGUGUCGGCCCCCUCAGUUGUGGUGUGGGAGCGCCCCUUGUCUGGGUGAUCCCCCCAGGGUGACCCCCGCCCGUGUGGCACCCCUGAAAGCCUGACCCCCUGUCUGUCAGCCCCCCCAGUCGUGGUGUGGGAGCGCCCCUUGUCUGAGUGACCCCCGCCCGUGUGGCACCCCUGAAAGCCUGACCCCCUGUGUCGGCCCCCUCAGUUGUGGUGUGAGAGCGCCCCUUGUCUGGGUGAUCCCCCCAGGGUGACCCCUGCCCGUGUGGCACCCCUGAAAGCCUGAUCCCCUGUCUGUCAGCCCCCCCAGUCGUGGUGUGGGAGCGCCCCUUGUCUGGGUGAUCCCCCCCAGGGUGACCCCCGCCCGUGUGGCACCCCUGAAAGCCUGAUCCCCUGUCUGUCAGCCCCCCCAGUCGUGGUGUGGGAGCGCCCCUUGUCUGGGUGAUCCCCCCAGGGUGACCCCCGCCCGUGUGGCACCCCUGAAAGCCUGAUCCCCUGUCUGUCAGCCCCCCCAGUCGUGGUGUGGGAGCGCCCCUUGUCUGGGUGAUCCCCGAGCCCAUCUCUGUGGGAUCCCCUGGAGCCGUGGGGAUGGGUGCCCCUGUUCUCUUCUCCCCCCAACCCAGACUGUACGUCCCCCCACGGGUGAAAGUGAUGACUGUGUGCAUGAUUAACAGCACUAAACCUGCUUUCGCUUUCCCCAUGUCUGCCCCCGCCUGUGAGUUUGUGAGGUACCUAGCACCUAGGGAGGGGUGUUAUGGGUGCUUCGGUUCUGAUGCUGCAGCCAGCUUCAAGCAUGUGUGCUGGCCCCUUGCCUUUGGAAGCAGAUGGCGGUGUCAAAGGACGUGACAGGGCUCUGGCAGCCAACUGACUUUCUGCAGAAAGGAUUAUAGUUUGUGCCCUGCAUGAUGCUGCCACCUGAGUCCAUGUUGGGCUGGCAGCCUCCAGCUCUGCAAAACUGAGUGCACCCUUAUUCCUGGGAAUUUGAGUGGGUAAUUUAAGACUGUGUAAACAUCAAUAGUUUGAAGGAGGAAGCUUGUCCAAGGUUGGUGUCUCUUGAACUGCAGAGUAGUUAAGGAGAUACCAUUUACUGAGAUCACUCCAGAAAACAGAGGAAUGAUUUGUUUUUAACUUUGUAUACUCCACUCAUUAAGGGUAGGAAGAGGACAGGCAGGUGAAUGUUUUGGUGGGGAAAGGGGGUUUUUAUUGAAGUCUGUACCUACUUUU